AUGUAGCAUACAUGGCGUACUGCUCAGUAACACGUGGAUAACCUGCCCUUGGGUCCGGCAUAACCCCGGGAAACUGGGGAUAAUUCCGGAUAACGCACAUAUGCUGGAAUGCUUUCUGCGUAAAAUGGAUUCGUCUGCCCAAGGAUGGGUCUGCGGCCUAUCAGGUAGUAGUGGGUGUAAUGUACCUACUAGCCUACGACGGGUACGGGUUGUGAGAGCAAGAGCCCGGAGAUGGAUUCUGAGACAUGAAUCCAGGCCCUACGGGGCGCAGCAGGCGCGAAAACUUUACAAUGCGGGAAACCGUGAUAAGGGGACACCGAGUGCCAGCAUCAUAUGCUGGCUGUCCAGGUGUGUAAAAUACACCUGUUAGCAAGGGCCGGGCAAGACCGGUGCCAGCCGCCGCGGUAACACCGGCGGCCCGAGUGGUGAUCGUGAUUAUUGGGUCUAAAGGGUCCGUAGCCGGUUUGGUCAGUCCUCCGGGAAAUCUGACAGCUUAACUGUUAGGCUUUCGGAGGAUACUGCCAGACUUGGAACCGGGAGAGGUAAGAGGUACUACAGGGGUAGGAGUGAAAUCUUGUAAUCCCUGUGAGACCACCUGUGGCGAAGGCGUCUUACCAGAACGGGUUCGACGGUGAGGGACGAAAGCUGGGGGCACGAACCGGAUUAGAUACCCGGGUAGUCCCAGCCGUAAACGAUGCUCGCUAGGUGUCAGGCAUGGCGCGACCGUGUCUGGUGCCGCAGGGAAGCCGUGAAGCGAGCCACCUGGGAAGUACGGCCGCAAGGCUGAAACUUAAAGGAAUUGGCGGGGGAGCACAACAACGGGUGGAGCCUGCGGUUUAAUUGGAUUCAACGCCGGA
Molecule: ribosomal RNA, 857 nt
Filed under: uncultured archaeon
Lineage: Archaea
Description: bacterial SSU rRNA
Rfam family: Archaeal small subunit ribosomal RNA
Source: RNAcentral